UACGUAGGGGGCAAGCGUUGUCCGGAAUUAUUGGGCGUAAAGCGCUCGCAGGCGGUCUUUUAAGUCUGAUGUGAAAGCCCACGGCUCAACCGUGGAGGGUCAUUGGAAACUGGAGGACUUGAGUACAGAAGAGGAGAGUGGAAUUCCACGUGUAGCGGUGAAAUGCGUAGAGAUGUGGAGGAACACCAGUGGCGAAGGCGACUCUCUGGUCUGUAACUGACGCUGAGGCGCGAAAGCGUGGGUAGCAAACAGG
RNAcentral lists this ribosomal RNA (253 nucleotides) under uncultured bacterium. Its description in RNAcentral is "partial 16S ribosomal RNA". It matches the Rfam family "Bacterial small subunit ribosomal RNA", at positions 524 to 776 of the family's 1533-position model. The record is from RNAcentral.